AGCCACGGGGAGCCUCCUUGGCCUCAAUGGCGGUCUCCUCGUGGCUCCAACUAAAUGCUUUCUGCCAUCUUGAAAGAGGAUGCGUUGCAGCGCAUGCAGCAGGCAUACAAUCGAUACCAAGCGCUGGCGCGAUUAGCGAAAUGUUACAACAGCAUGGGCUGCGGCUACCAUGCGGACACGCGGUUUGAUGAGUUGUUGCAAAAGCG
This 206-nucleotide unclassified non-coding RNA is filed under the name Hevea brasiliensis (rubber tree). Lineage: Eukaryota; Viridiplantae; Streptophyta; Magnoliopsida; Malpighiales; Euphorbiaceae. The record is from RNAcentral.